AGUGAACGCUGGCGGUAGGCCUAACACAUGCAAGUCGAACGGCAGCACAGUAAGAGCUUGCUCUUACGGGUGGCGAGUGGCGGACGGGUGAGGAAUACAUCGGAAUCUACUUUUUCGUGGGGGAUAACGUAGGGAAACUUACGCUAAUACCGCAUACGACCUACGGGUGAAAGCAGGGGAUCUUCGGACCUUGCGCGAUUGAAUGAGCCGAUGUCGGAUUAGCUAGUUGGCGGGGUAAAGGCCCACCAAGGCGACGAUCCGUAGCUGGUCUGAGAGGAUGAUCAGCCACACUGGAACUGAGACACGGUCCAGACUCCUACGGGAGGCAGCAGUGGGGAAUAUUGGACAAUGGGGGAAAGCCUGAUCCAGCCAUACUGCGUGGGUGAAGAAGGCCUUCGGGUUGUAAAGCCCUUUUGUUGGGAAAGAAAAGCAGCAGGUUAAUACCACGCUGUUCUGACGGUACCCAAAGAAUAAGCACCGGCUAACUUCGUG
RNAcentral lists this ribosomal RNA (492 nucleotides) under uncultured bacterium. RNAcentral describes it as "partial 16S ribosomal RNA". It matches the Rfam family "Bacterial small subunit ribosomal RNA", at positions 29 to 507 of the family's 1533-position model. The record is from RNAcentral.